RNAcentral lists this ribosomal RNA (110 nucleotides) under Caerostris extrusa. The record is from RNAcentral. Lineage: Eukaryota; Metazoa; Arthropoda; Arachnida; Araneae; Araneidae.
AACGGCCGUACCAUGCUGAAUAUACCGGUUCUCGUUAGAUCACCGAAGUCAAGCAUCAUUGGGCGGUCAGUACUUGGGUGGGUGACCACCUGGGAACACCGCGUACCGUU